GAGUUUGAUCAUGGCUCAGGACGAACGCUGGCGGCGUGCUUAACACGUGCAAGUGGAGCGACGAACCCGGGCUUGCCCGGGGGCAGAGCCGCGAACGGGUGAGUAACACGUGGGUAACCUGCCCCGAUGACCGGGACAACCCGAGGAAACUCGGGCUAAUACCGGAUGAACUCUUCUCUCAUGAGUGAGAUUUGAAAAGGAAGCUUCGGCCUCCGCAUUGGGAUGGGCCCGCGGCCCAUUAGCUUGUUGGUGGGGUAACGGCCUACCAAGGCUUCGAUGGGUAGCUGGUCUGAGAGGACGAUCAGCCACACUGGGACUGAGACACGGCCCAGACUCCUACGGGAGGCAGCAGUGGGGAAUCUUGCGCAAUGCGCGAAAGCGUGACGCAGCAACGCCGCGUGCG
This 403-nucleotide ribosomal RNA is filed under the name uncultured bacterium. RNAcentral's name for it is "bacterial SSU rRNA". It matches the Rfam family "Bacterial small subunit ribosomal RNA", at positions 9 to 405 of the family's 1533-position model. The record is from RNAcentral.